GAUGAACGCUGGCGGCGUGCCUAAUACAUGCAAGUCGAACGGGGAGUCGCAAUACUCUUAGUGGCGAACGGGUGAGUAACGCGUUGGUACCUGCCCCGAAGCGGGGGAUAACGGACCGAAAGGUUCGCUAAUACCCCAUGUGCUCGGUAACGAGUAAAGGGGAAAACCACUUUGGGAGGGGCAUGCGUCCCCUCAGCUAGUUGGUAAGGUAACGGCUUACUAAGGCGAGGACGGGUAGGGGACCUGAGAGGGUGGCCCCCCACGAUGGAACUGAGACACGGUCCACACACCGACGGGUGGCAGCGGUAGGGAAUAUAGGGGAUGGGCGCAAGCCUGAACCAGCAACGCCGCGUGGGCGAUGACGGCCUUCGGGUUGUAAAGCACGUUUGUCAGGGACGAGGAAGGACGGUACCGGUCGAAGAAGCCUCGGCUAACUACGUG
Molecule: ribosomal RNA, 441 nt
Filed under: uncultured bacterium
Lineage: Bacteria
Description: partial 16S ribosomal RNA
Rfam family: Bacterial small subunit ribosomal RNA
Source: RNAcentral